UCGCAUCUUCCCUUGCCGCCGCUGGAGGCAGACGCCGGCAAGCCCACGCGGUCGUCGAUGAGGGCGGCGGCGAGGUCUUCGGCCACGAUUCUUUCUCGGGAACGGGCCUAGGGUUCCAGGCGGCGACCUGGUGGUGUGGGCGGCGCCGUCCCGGCGGCGUUGGCUGGAGCUAUGGCCGCCUCCCCUCGGCUGCAUGGGUGGCGAGUCGGUGGUGGACCUGUGUGUCGGGCGGCAGGACCCCUGUGACCUGCUUCGCCAGAUCUAAAGAUGGCGCCCGUUCGCUUGCAUCAGCGUCUUCCUCGUCUGGUCCGGCCGGAUCCGGACGGAUCCGGCUGUUGGCUGCGUGGAUUUGGUGUGGGGAGGUCUGAAUCUGGGGUAACCCCUUGGCCGGCGGCGGCGGCCACCUCGUCGGUGGCGCUUCGGGCGAUGUUCCCCUUCUUGAAGGCAACAUUGAGGUUCACCUCCCCCUCCUCCUCCUUCCCCUGCACCCGGGUGAAAGCCCAAAUGGCGGCGCCAUGAUGGUGCCGUUACCUUCUUGAAGGUGCCGUUUUGGGUCUGUGGGGAGGCGGGUCGGUUGCUGCGUGCUCAGGUGCUCUUGGUGGCGGCAGCUACUUCUUCAAGCGGUAACACUUCACCAUGGAUGACCGGUCCGCUCCUCCGGCCACCGUGCUCUCCUCCGUGUGGUCCUGUCAGUCCGGCGGAUCGACGCCCUCGGCCUGGGCAAGAGGGGAUAGUGGUCCCCUCUACGUCGAUUAGGAUGUGAUGGUAGGUGAGAUGGUGGCCAUGGCGUGCUCUGUUUCCUCCUGGUGGCUUUGGUGUUCCAAUCAUGGCCGUGUCUUCUUGGGAUCCCCUGUUCUAUAGCUAGCGUGUGUGGCAUGCUUCAAUUGUGGGCAGCAGCUUCUCAAGCUGUAGUCUUUUUCUUCAUUGGUCGUAGCGUUUUUGCUUUCUUUCAGCUCCUUGUAUCAGCCGUUGCGGGGUUGCAUCCCUGCUUUAUUUUAUGUCCUGGUUGUAUGGUUUGUAUCGAUGUAUCUUGGCUGGUUGAUGGCUUUGUUAAUUUAAAGUUGGGUUAUGCUCGAGCACUACUCGGGCUCGGUUGUGCCUUUUCUCUAAAAGAACAAUGCACCAGGGCCACACUCAGCUGACCCGCCACGGCCUGCUGUGGAGCGGAGGACGCGCGGGACGUGCAGAUGCGAGUGGGGUUCGCCCCGCAACUUCUGCCGAGUGGCCAGGGCCGACGUGGGCACAACAGCAUCCUCCGCGAGGUGCUCUGAUUCUUGGGCGAUGGCUCCUGAGCGGGGGAAGCUGGAGUCAGGGCGGCCGGCCGCCAGAAGACUUCCUCGCUGUGCCUGUGAGGAAUGUACACACCGUCGCUUGCCCUGCUAAUUGUCUUCUGGAGAAGAUCAAUUAAGAGAUAAAAUCCUCAAACAAAAUCCUUAGUGACAGAACACCAACUCUACACUGCCUCUGUCCAUGCAUCAUAAGUUCAUAACAUGCCAGUGACAUUAGAGUUGGGGUGAAGGGCACAAUGACAGUGGUUUCAUGAUAUCUCGGUGAUUGUGGCAAGGCCAAAGAUGCAGGAGGAAGAUGGACACGCGAAUUUUCUCUUAAAAAAGAUGGACAGCGGGAGGAGGAAGGGGAUGGUGAAGAAAAGGGCAGUCGGCCACAUGAAAUUUCUGAGCGGUAGAUCAAGGACGCAGCGGUGGAUCCACGGGAAUCGGCGACCUGCGGCAAGGCGCACGGGGCGGCAAAAGGGGGUGAGAUUGGAGGCCGGGUGUUGCCUCCAGUAACGUAAGCGACGCAGAGAGAUGCAUAUUGGGGAAUCGAGAGAGAUUUAGCCUCAGGAUAUGUAUGUAUGUAUAUAUAUAUAUAUAUAUGUAUAUAUAUAUAUAUAGAGAGAGACGGGGGAGUAAAUAAUUUGUGGAAGUGGUAGUCGUCAGUUACGGCAGAAUAGGAAGCAGCGCAUGCUUCGGUGCCCGUGGGAGGGUAUGCAUGCAGUAUGUGAGAAUAAAUUAGACGAAUGCUGAUGGCUGAACCAUAUUGCAUCAACCGGUAACGGAAGGCAUGAUGUGGCACGCAUGUAUGUUUUAUACUGUAGUGGGUCCCUCACGUAAGCCUCUAACAAAACGCUGAUGUGGCGGUGCUGCUGAUGUGGAUAGGCUGCAUGUCAAGAGAAAUAAGGUAGUGGGGAUGAACUAUUUAGGUCUAAUAGAUUCAUGCCAUGUUUGCAAUAAUUUUAUAUGGUUUAGGUAUGAUUUGCAUGGAACUAACCCGGACUGACGCUGUUUUCAGCAGAACUACCGUGGUGUUGUUUUUUAUGCAGAAAUGAAAGUUCUUCAAACACCGCAAAACUUNNNNNNNNNNNNNNNNNNNNNNNNNNNNNNNNNNNNNNNNNNNNNNNNNNNNNNNNNNNNNNNNNNNNNNNNNNNNNNNNNNNNNNNNNNNNNNNNNNNNNNNNNNNNNNNNNNNNNNNNNNNNNNNNNNNNNNNNNNNNNNNNNNNNNNNNNNNNNNNNNNNNNNNNNNNNNNNNNNNNNNNNNNNNNNNNNNNNNNNNNNNNNNNNNNNNNNNNNNNNNNNNNNNNNNNNNNNNNNNNNNNNNNNNNNNNNNNNNNNNNNNNNNNNNNNNNNNNNNNNNNNNNNNNNNNNNNNNNNNNNNNNNNNNNNNNNNNNNNNNNNCCCACCAGGGCGCGCCUAGGCCCCCAGGCAUGCCCUGGUGGGUUGUGCCCACCUCGGUGGCCUCCCCUACCCCUUCUUCGCCCUAUAAAUUCCCAAAUAUUCCGAAAACCCUCUGGGAGAUUCUAGAUCGGAAGUUCCGCCGCCACAAGCCUCUGUAGCCACCGAAAACCAAUCGGGACCCUGUUCCGGCACCCUGCUGGAGGGGGAAUCAUCUCCGGUGGCCAUCUUCAUCAUCCCAGCGGCCACCACGAUGAGGAGGGAGUAGUCCACCCUCGGGGGUGAGGGUUUGUACCAGUAGCUAUGUGUUUAAUAUCCCUCUCUUGCACGAUCUUGAGAUGUCAUGAUCUUGAUGUAUCAUGGGCUUUGUUAACAUAGAUGGAUCAUAUGGUGUUUCUCUCCUCUCUACUCUUGUUGUGAUGAAUUGAGUCUUUACCCUUUGAAGUUUUGUCUUGUCGGAUUGAAUGUUUAGAUCUGAGAACACAUGAUAUAUGUCUUGCAUAUGAAUACCCGUGAUGACAAUGUGGUAUUAUUUUGAUUCACUUGAUAUAUGUUAUGGCACUCAACUUGCGGAUUCCCGAGGUGACUUUGGGGUAAUCUAUGCAUAGGGGUUGAUGCACAUUUUUAUUAUCUUUUCUCCGAUAGAAAAGUUGGGGUCUCCUUGUAGUUCUUUGUGUGUAUUAUGAAUCUGAAAUUGUUUGAUACAUAUCGUAUAAUUAACUCACGGGUGCUCGCGGUAACAUUGGGGUAUCUAGGUGACAUUAGAGUUGGUUGAUAUACAUCAUAUGGUGUUAUUUUAGUACGAACUCUUCAUUAGAUCAAUUAGAAAGAAUAGCUUAUUGUUAUAUUAGUACGAACUCUAUGAUAGAUUGAUCGGAAAGAAUAGCUUUGAGGUGGUUUUGUACCCUAGAACAAUUUCUAUCUUUUGUUCUCCGCUAAUAGGAACUCGGGAGUGAUUCUUUAUUGCACUUUGAGGGAUAAUAAUAUGAUCCAACUAUGUUAGCAUUGUUGAGAGAUUGCACUAGUGAAAGUAUGCACCCUAGGCCUCAUUUUCCAUUAUUGCAAUACCGUUUGUGCUCCGUUUCACUAUUUACUACCUUGCUAUUUUUAUUGUUUGCACUACAAAAACUCAUAUCUAUUAUCCAUACUACACUUUUAUCACCAUCUCUUCACCGAACUAGUGCACCUAUACAAUUUGCCAUUGUAUUGGGUGUGUUGGGGACACAAGAGAUUUCUUGAAUUUUAUUGCAGGGUUGCUUGAGAGAGACUAUCUUCAUCAUAUGCCUCCCACAGAUUGAUAAACCUUAGGUCAUCCACUUGAGGGAAAAUUGUUGUUGUCCUACAAAACUCUGCGCUUGGAGGCCCAACACGUGUCUACAAGAAUAAAGUUGCGUAGUAGACAUCAAGCUCUUUUCUGGCGCCGUUGCUGGGGAGGUGAGUGCAUGAAGGUAUAUCUUUAGAUCUUGCAAUUGAAUCUUUUAGUUUCUUGUUUUAUCACUAGUUUGGUUUAUAAAAAGAAAACUUCAAAAAAUGGAAUUUAGGUUCCAUCAUAUUAUUCAUCUUUAUAAUGUCUGUCCUGAAAAUGAUGAAAAAAAAUUGUGCUCAACUGAUAGAAUAAGAAUUCAAUAAAAUGUUUGGCAUAAAUGAUGAGCAUGAUUGCAAUAUUGUUGGUAUGAAUUCUUUGAAUAUCCAUGAUGCUAGUGAUAUGCAAAGCAAUAAGCUUGGGAAUGUUAUGUUUGAUGAAGAUGAUAUUUUUAUUCCCCCAAGUUUUGAUGUGCAAAUUUGUUACAAUGGUAGCAUGCCUCCUAUUUAUGAUGAUUACAAUGAUGAAAGUGGAUUUGGAGAGGUCAUGACUUUAUUUAGUGAUGAAUCCACUAUUUCAGAAGAGAUAUCAAUUGAUUAUGGGAACAAAUUUGCUAUCUAUGAUGAUUAUGGUGAUGACAUGUAUGCUAUAAAGAAUAAUGAUAACCAUGAAACUUGUCAUCAUGAUUUUAAUUUUCAAUCACAUGAUGUUAUUUUAUUGAGUUUGCUCCCACUACUAUGAAUGAGAAUAAGUUUGCUUGUGUGGAGAGUAAUAAAUUUUCUAUGCUUGUGGAUCAUGAAAAGAAUGCUUUAUGUGAUAGUUAUAUUGUUGAAUUCAUUCAUGAUGCUACCGAAAAUUAUUAUGAGAUAGGAACAUAUGCUUCUACAUAUCUCAAUAAUAUCAAGUUUCCUCUCUUUAUGUUGAAAGCUUUUAUGUUGCACUUGUUUUACUUUCCUAUGCUAGUUGAUUCUUAUUCCCAUAAGUUGUUUGCUCACAAAAUCCCUAUGCGUAGGAAGUGGGUUAGACUUAAAUUUUCUUGCCAUGUGAUUCAUGAUGCUCUUGUUAUCUUUCAGUUCUUAUCUUUUAUGUGAGCAUCAUUGAACUCAUCCUGCCUAGCUAAAAAGGCAUUAAAGAAAAGCGCUUGUUGGGACACAACCCAACACUUUUAUCUACUGUCUUUGUGUGUUCACAUGAUUAUGCUACAGUGGUAAUCAUGUUUUAUUGCUUUUGUUUCAAUAAAGUGCCAAGUAAAGCCUUUGAGAUCAUGUUGGGUGAUAGUUGAUUUGAUCUUGCUGAAAAAUAGAAACUUUUGCGCUCACGAAAAUAACUCUCACUUUUAACAUAAGAGUGAUUUUGAGUUCAUUAAUUUUGAAGAAGAUUAAUAUACAAAUUUCUCAUGUGGUCCAUUUUUUUCAUAAUUUUUGGAGUAGCAGAAGUAUGGUUUGAGUACAGAUUACUACAGACUGUUCUGUUUUUUAUAGAUUCUGUUUUCAAUGCAUAGUUUGCUUGUUUCCUAGUUUCUAUGGCUUAUACUGCUCAAUAUAAAUUUUAGAAAUGAUAUGAUACAUUAGGUAUUGUGUGGAAACAAUUAUGAAUCUUUUCUUUGGCAGUACAAAAAGUCAAAUGGUUUGCUCUUUAUCAUACUAACCUAUCUCACAAGGUUCCAUUAAGUUUUGUGUGAUUGAAGUUUUCAAGUUUUGGGUGAGAUGUCAAUAUGAGGAGAAUAAGGAGUGACAAGACCCUAAGCUUUGGGAUGCCCAAGGCACCCCAAGGUAACAUUCAAGGAAGAUCCAAGCAACUAAGCUUGGGGAUGCCUCGUAAGGCAUCCCCUCUUUCGUCUCCAACAUUAUCGGUAACCUCACUUGGAGCUAUGUUUUCAUUCGUCACAUGAUAUGUGUUUUGCUUGGAGCAUCAAUUUAUUUUGUUAGGAUUUGCUUGCUGUUAUUUAUAAUAACGUUUUGAAUCUUUUAUUUCAAUAAAAGUGCCAAUGAUAGCCUUUGCCAUGCUUAUUUUGCAAGUAUACAUGUUGCUGUUUCAAAACAGAAAGUUUAUCGCUGUUGCAAAAAUCCCCUAGAAAAUUCAGAAUGUGAUAAAGUGCUGAAACGUUUUGAAAAAUAAGCUCUGAUAAAUUUUCUAAAGUGUGGUAAUUUUUUCAGAAUUUUUUGGGUUAGGGAAGUAUGAUGAAUAUUGCAUUCUUUACAAACUGUACUGUUUUGGCAGAUUGCUGUUAUGUUUGCAUUAUUUGCAUAUGUUUGCUUGUUUAAUGAUUCUAUUUGAGGAUAGGAGUGCAGAGGCAUUUAGUAUGAAAUAUUGAAUAAUAAUUUUAGUAAUUUGCUUCCGUAGAGAAUGAUAAGGUUUUGCACUGAUUUAUACUAAUUUAUCUCACGAGUUCUUGUUGAGUUUUGUGUGGAUGAAGUUUUUGAGAUUUAGGGAAACCGUGAUAUGAGUGGAAUUAAGGAGACACAAAAGAUCAAGCUUGGGGAUGCCCAAGGCAUCCCAAAUUUAUAUUUCAAUAAGACUCAAGCAUCUAAGCUUGGGGACGCCCCGGUAGGCAUCCCACCUAUCUUCUUCAACAAUUAUCGGUUAGUAUCGGUUGAGCCUAAGUUUUUGCUUCUUCACAUGAUGUGUGCUAUUCUUGGAUGUCAUUUUGUUUUGUUUUGCUUGCUGUUUUAAUAAAAUACUUAGAUCUGAAAGUUUUAAAUAAAAGAGAUUCCUCAAUUAGCUACCCAUUUACAUAACUACUCGUUUGAUCUUCACUUAUACUUUUUGGAGUAUCUUGUCAUUUACUCUUGCGCUUCACUUAUAUCCUAUGAGUGAAGUGUUGAAUGAAUUGGAUAUCAUGAAGUUGAAAUUACAUGUUCAUAUCAUGCCUAUUCACAUUGGGUUUAGAAAGUGAAAGCUUUUGAAGCUUGACAAUCACAAUAUUGGUCAUAUAAGCAAUUCACGAAUAAUUAGUAUAAGGAAGAGAACUUUCACAUGCAAAUACACUAUCUUGGAAAUCUUUUGUGAUUGUGAGCCCCCAUCAAAAUAUUAUAUGUCAAAAUUGUUGACAUUGGACAAGGAAGACAACGUAAUGAUUUAUGUUUGCUCAUAUUCACAUAGAAGUUAUAUUGUCAUAGAUCCUUCAACAUGUGGUGCUUGCCCCCUAUCUUUGCUAUCCAAAAAUUCCGCAACAAGUAGAGAUACUACCUGUGCAUCCAAAAACCCUUAAACCCAAAUCUUAUUUCGAGAGUCCACCAUACCUACCUAAGGAUUGAGAAAGAUCCUUCAAGUAAGUUGUCAUCGGUGCAAUAAGGCAAUAAAAAUUGCUUCUAAAAGUGUUAGAUCAUUUAGUGUAAGAUAAAAUUGAGCAUUGUACGAACUUAUGAUGGCAAAGAAUAAAAGCGACAGACUGCAUAAUAAAGGUUGCUAUCAUAAGGGGCAAUAUAAUGUGAUGUUCUUUCGCACUACGGGGUUGAGCAUAUAAAUAAAUAAGUACCAUGGCAACCUCUGCUUCCCUCUGCGAAGGGUCUAUCUUUUACUUUUAUGUAUUUACUUUCAUGCAAGUGUCAAAGUUUUUCUCUUUAUUCCUUUUCAUUUUUCUCCUUUGGCAAGCAUCGUGUGGUGAGGAAAGAUAUAGGCACAUAUAUCCAGUUGGAUAUGGGUAGCAUGAGUUAUUAUUGUUGACAUCACCCUUGAGGUGAUUACAUUGGGAGGCGAAAUUAUAAGCCCCUAUCUUUCUAUUUGUCCAGUUGAAAUGUUUUGCUCAUGUGUACGCGGUGAGUGUUAGCAAUCAUAGAAGACUAUAUGAUAGUUGAGUAUGUGGAGCUCUUACUUAGACUCUGUUGAAUAAGUUGAAUUGCAAUUGCUUGGUGACUGAGAACAUAGGUUGUUGAGUUUCAAGAGAACUCAUUAUUUGAACUUUAACAUGUGAAUUGGUUGCUACUAUAACAUGAGAAGUUUUAUAAGAAAAAAAAUUGCUGUUAUGAUGCUAGGAAAAGUGAUUGAAAUUGUCAUUGAUCAAACUUGUGCACUUUGCUAGCAUUCACACAUCAUAAUUUUUUCUUUUAUCAUUUACCUACUCGAGGACGAGUAGGAAUUAAGCUUGGGGAUGCUGAUACGUCUCCAAUGUAUCUAUAAUUUAUGAACUAUUCAUGCCAUGUUUACAAUAAUUUUAUAUGGUUUUGGUAUGAUUUGCACGGAACUAACCCGGACUGACGUUGUUUUCAGCAGAACUACCAUAUUGUUGUUUUUUGUGCAGAAAUGAAAGUUCUCCAAAUACCACGAAACUUUUUGUGGAUUUUUUAUGGACUAGAAGAGAACCAUUGUCCCCGAGGGGGAACAACCAGGCGCGCGCCCUGGUGGGUUUUGCCCACCUCGGUGGCCUCAAAUACCCCUUCUUCGGCCUAUGAAUUCCCAAAUAUUCUGAAAACCCUCGGGGAGACCCUAGAUCGGAAGUUCCACCGCCGCAAGCCUCUGUAGCCACCGAAAACCAAUCGAGACCCUGUUCCGUCACCCUUCCGGAGGGGGAAUCAUCUCCGGUGGCCAUCUUCAUCAUCCGAGCAGCCACCACAUGAUGAGGAGGGAGUAGUCCAUCCUCGGGGGUGAGGGUCUGUACCAGUAGCUAUGUGUUUAAUCCCUCUACCUCUCGCGAUUUUCAGAUGUCAUGAUCUUGAUGUAUCAUGGGCUUUGUUGAUAUAGAUGGUUCAUAUGGUGUUUCUCCCCUCUCUACUCUUGUUGUGAUGAAUUGAGUCUUUACCCUUUGAUGUUUUGUCUUGUCAGAUUGAAUGUUCAGAUCUGAGAACACAUGAUAUAUGUCUUGCAUAUGAAUACUCGUGGUGACAAUGGGGUAUUAUUUUGAUUCACUUGAUAUAUGUUAUGCCACUCAACUUGCGGAUUCGCGAGGUGACUGCUACAUCAUGAGCUUGUGUUGGUUUUCCUUGAAGAGGAAAGGGUGAUGCAGCACAGUAGCAUAAGUAUUUCCCUCAGUUUUUGAGAACCAAGGUAUCAAUCCAAUAGGAGGCUCCUCAAACGUCCCAGAAACCUACACAAACAAACAAAGAACUCGCAACCAACACGAUAAAGGGGUUGUCAAUCCCUUCACAGCCACUUGCGAAAGUGAGAUCUGAUAGAGAUAGUAUGAUAAUAUAAAUAUAUAUUUGGUAUUUUAUAAUAUAGAUGCAGAAAAUAAAGAUGCGAAUAAAAGUAGAUUAAAAACUUAUAUGAUAAAGGAUAGACCCAGGGGCCAUAGGUUUCACUAGAGGCUUCUCUCAAGAUAGCAUAAGUAUUACGGUGGGUGAACAAAUUACUGUCGAGCAAUUGAUAGAAAAGCGAAUAAUUAUGAGAUUAUCUAGGCAUGAUCAUGUAUAUAGGCAUCACGUCCAUGAUAAGUAGACCGACUCCUGCCUGCAUCUACUACUAUUACUCCACACAUCGACCGCUAUCUAGCAUGCAUCUAGAGUAUUAAGUUCAUAAGAACAGAGUAACGCAUUAAGAAAGAUGACAUGAUGUAGAGGGAUAAACUCAAGCAAUAUGAUAUAAACCCCAUCUUUUUAUCCUCGAUGGCAACAAUACAAUACGUGUCUUGCAACCCUUUCUGUCACUGGUUAAGAACACCGCAAGAUUGAACCCAAAGCUAAGCAUUUCUCCCAUGGCAAGAAAGAUCAAUCUAGUAGGCCAAACCAAACUGAUAAUUCGAAGAGACUUGCAAAGAUAACUCAAUCAUACAUAAAAGAAUUCAAAGAAGAAUCAAUUAUUAUUCAUAGAUAAACUUGAUCAUAAACCCACAAUUUAUCGGAUCUCGACAAACACACCGCAAAAAGAGUUUACAUCUAAUAGAUCUCCACAAGAGAGGGGGAGAACAUUGUAUUGAGAUCCAAAAGAGAGAAGAAUCCAUCUAGCUAAUAACUAUGGACCCGAAGGUCUGUGGUAAACUACUCACAACUCAUCGGAAGGGCUGUGGUGUUGAUGUAGAAGCCCUCCAUGGUGGAUUCCCCCUCCAGCAGAACGCCAGUGAUGGCUCCAAGAUGGGAUCUUGCGGAUAUAGAAGGUUACGGUGGCGGAAAUAUUUCUUUGGUGGCUCUCUGGAUGUUUUCGGGGUAUGUAGGCUUAUAUAGGAGGAAGAAGUACGUCGGUGGCCACCCGAGGGGUCCACGAGACAGGGGGGAGCGCCCAGGAGGGGUGGGCGCACCCUCCUAUCUCGUGGCCGCCUUGGCUGCUUCUUGGCUAGCACUCCAAGUCCUCCGGAUCACGUUCGUUCCAAAAAUCACGCUCCCGAAUGUUUCAUUCCGUUUGGACUCCGUUUGAUAUUCCUUGUCUUCGAAAUACUGAAAUAGGCAAAAAACAUCAAUAUGGGCUGGGCCUCCGGUUAGUAGUUUAGUCCCAAAAAUGAUAUAAUUGUGUAAAAUAAAGCCCAUAAACAUCCAAAACAGGUAAUAUAAUAACAUGGAACAAUCAAAAAUUAUAGAUACGUUGGAGACGUAUCAAGCAUCCCCAAGCUUAAUUCAUGCUCGUCCUUGAGUAGGUAAAUGAUAAAAACAGAGUUUUUGAUGUGGAAUGCUACCUAGCAUAAUUCUCAAUGUAAUUUUCUUUAUUGUGGCAUGAAUGUUCAGAUCCAAAUGAUUUAAGAUAAAAGCUUAUAAAACAUAAAAAUAAUAAUACUUUGAAGCACACUAACAAAUAAUCAUGUCCUAUCAAAAUAGCAUAGCCAAAGAAAGCUUAUCCAUACAAAAUCAUAUAGUUAGGCCAUGCUUCAUUUUCAUUACACAAAAUACUCCCAUCAUGUACAACCCCGAUGACGAGCCGAGAAAUUGGUUCACACUUUUUAACGUGCUUCAUAUUUUUCAACUCUUAUGCAAUACAAGAGCGCAAGCCAUGGACAUAGCACUAUGGUGGUCUAUGGUGGUGGUUGUAAGGACAAAAGGGAGAAGACAGUCUGACAUCAACUAGGCGUAUCAACGGGCUAUGGAGAUGCCCAUUGAUAGAUAUCAAUGUGAGUGAGUAGGGAUUGCCAUGCAACGGAUGCACUAGAGCUAUAAAUGUAUGAAAGCUCAACAAAAGAAACUAAGUGGGUGUGCAUCCAACUUGCUUGCUCACGAAGACCUAGGGCAUUUUGAGGAAGCCCAUCAUUGGAAUAUACAAGCCAAGUUCUAUAAUGAAAAAUUCUCACUAGUAUAUGAAAGUGACAACAUAUGAGACUCUCUAUCAUGAAGAUCAUGGUGCUAUUUUGAAGCACAAGUGUGGAAAAGAGAUAGUAGCAAUUGUCCCUUCUCUCUUUUUCUCUCAUUUUUUUCUUUUUCUCUCUUUUUUCUUUUUUUCCUUUUCUUUCUUCUUCUUUUUUCUUUUUUUUCUUUUUUUCUUUUUGGUGGACUUCUUUGGCCUCUUUUAUUUUUAUAAAGUCUGAAGUCUCAUCCCGACUUGUGGGGGAAUCAUAGUCUUCAUCAUCCUAUCCUCACUGGAACAAUGCUCUAAUAAUGAAGAUCAUCACACUUUUAUUGACUUACAACUCAAGAAUUACAACUCAAAGCUAGAACAAGAUAUGAAUCUAUAUGAAUGCCUCCGGCGGUGUACCGGGAUAUGCAAUGAAUCAAGAGUGACAUGUAUGAAAAUUAUGAAGGUGGCUUUGCCACAUAUAUGAUGUCAACUACAUGAUCAUGCAAAGAGCAAUAUGACAAUGAUGGAGUGUGUCAUAAUAAAUGGAACGGUGGAAAGUUGCAUGACAAUAUAUCUCGGAAUGGCUAUGGAAAUGCCAUAAUAGGUAGGUAUGGUGGCUAUUUUGAGGAAGGUAAAUAAUGGGUGCAUGCUACCGGCGAAAAUUGCGCGGUAAAAUAGAGGCUAGAAAAGUGGAAGGAUGAGUGUGCGUAUAUCCAUGGACUCACAUUAGUCAUAAAGAACUCAUAUACUUAUUGCAAAAGUCUACUUAGCCCUUGAAGCAAAGUACUACUACGCAUGCCCCUAGAGGGAUAGAUUGGUAGGAAAAGACCAUCGCUCGUCCCCGACUGCCACUCAUAAGGAAGACAAUCAAAAGAGCACCUCAUGCAACAAAUUUGUCACACAACUUUUACCAUACGUGCAUGCUACGGGACUUGCCAACUUCAACACAAGUAUUUCUCAAUUUCAUAAUAAUCCACUAGCAUGACUCUAGCAUUACUACCUUUAUAUCUCAAAAAAAUUAUCAAGCAUCAAAUUGAUCCUAGUGUUUAAUGCAUUUUCUAUGAUAUUUUUUAUUAUACCCAACUUGGAUGCUCAUCAUUCUAGGACCAAAUUCACAGCCAUAGCAAAUACCAUGCUGUUCUAAGAGACUCUCAAAAUAAUAUAAGUGAAGCAUGAGAGACUAGCAAUUUCUUCAAAAUUAAUCCACCACCGUGCUCUAAAAUAUAUAAGUGAAGUACUAGAGCAAAAACUAUCUAGCUCAAAAGAUAUAAGUGAAGCACAUGGCAAAUUCUAAUAAAGUGGGAUUUUCCCAAAAGGUGUGUACAGCAAGGAUGAUUGUGGUAAACUAAAAAUAAAAGACUAAUAUAAUACACGACGCUCCAAGCAAAACACAUAUCAUGUGCCGAAUAAAAAUAUAGCUCCAAGUAAAGUUACCAAUGAACGAUGACGAAAGAGGGGAUGCCUUCCGGGGGCAUCCCCAAGCUUAGGCUUUUGGCUAUUCUUGAAUAUCUUGGGGUGCCUUGGGCAUCCCCAAGCUUAGGCUUUUGCUACUCUUUAUUCCAUAGUCCAUCAAAUCUUUACCCAAAACUUAAAAACUUCACAACACAAAACUCAACAGGAAAUAUCAUAAGCUCCGUUAGUGAAAGAAAACAAAACCACCACAUAAGGUACUAUAAUGAACUCAUUAUUUAUUUAUAUUGGUGUUAAACCUACUGUAUUCCAAGUUCUCUAUGGUUCAUACCCUUACAUACUAGCCAUAGAUGCAUCAAAAUAAGCAAACAACACACGAAAAACAGAAUCUGUCGAAAACAGAACAGUCUGUAGCAAUCUGUAGGUAACACAAACUUCUGGAACCUUAAAAAUCCUACAAAAAUAGUACCUCAUAAACAAUUUUUUAUUGAACAGCAGCAAAAAGAAUCAAUGCAAAAGCUCGUUUCUGUGAUUCAUUGAAGUUUUUCUCAUGAGCGCAAAGUUUCUGUUUUUCAGCAGAAUCAAAUCAACUCAUAUCAUAGGUUAUCCUAUAGGUUCUACUUGGCACAAACACUAAAUAAAACUUGAAAACACAUCUAAACAGAAAGUAGAUGCAAAAUUUAUUAAUAAACAGGAACAAAAACAAAAAACACAAAGAAAAUUGGGUUGCCUCCCAACUAGCGCUAUCGCUUAAUGCCCCUAGCUAGGCAUAAAAGCGAAGAUAGAUUUAAGUAGUGCAAUCUUUGACACUUGAUUCCUCAAUAGAGCAUUUAUGAUCUUUAGAGGUUUCUCCCUUUUUAGCAAAGAUUAAACCUUUAGGAAAAAAAUCAAGAAAUUCGUUGGUACAAAAAGGUUCCUUAACGAUAGAGAGACAAUUGGGAUGAGCACUUAUGGAUUUGAGAUCCGCGUCACCUUUACUAGAAGAUUCACCCUUAUUUUUAGGAACAUAAAUAAACUUGGCAGUUUUGGUAGGAGGUUUUGGAGUGUUUUUCAUGGAAGAAAACACGGAACCUUAGUUGGUAAUGAUAUCCUCAAGUUUACCGAUUCUUGCAGAAUCUAGAUCUAUUUUUUCAUUAACUAUAGGUUCUUUCUCUUUAAGAUUUUUCAAAGUAACUCCAACCCUAGAUCCAUAUUGGGUAAUGUGAUUAUGAAUCUUUUUAUCCAAAUUUUCAAUCAACUCAACAAUGGCAAUUUUAUUUUCAAUAAUCUCAAGCUGUUGCAUAACAUGUUCUAAAGUUAAAAUAGUUCCAUUAACCAAAAGAGGUGGUGGGCCAAAAAAAAUCUAACAUAGCAUUAUAAGCUUCAAACGUGUGGCUAUUCAAGAAAUCCCCUCCGGCAACGGUAUCAAGAACGCAUCUAUUCCAAGGAGUAAUGCCUAAAUAAAAAUUGCGAAGAAGAACGGAAGCAGAAAGCUUCCCAGUGGAUUUAUUUUGAGCAUUGCAAAUUAUGCCAAGCAUCUUUUAAAUUUUCUCCCUCUCUUUGCUUAAAAUUGAGAAUUUCAUGUUCGGGAGUAAUAACAAGGAUAGGAGGACUAGCCAUAACGACAAGGUAAACAAUCUAACAUGCGAGCAAACGGAAAAGAGGCAAGUGAAAAAGAGAGGAGAUUGGGAAAGAGAGGGCAAAUAAAACGGCAAGGGUGAAGUGGGGGAGAGGAAAACGAGAGGCAAAUGGCAAAUAAUGUAAAUGCAAGGGAGAUGAGUUUGUGAUGGGUACUUGGUAUGUCUUGACUUGAGUGAAGACCUCCCCGGCAACGGUGCCAGAAAUCCUUCUUGGUACGUCUUGAGCUUGCGUUGGUUUUCCUUGAAGAGGAAAGGGUGAUGCAGCACAAUAGCGUAAGUAUUUCCCUCAGUUUUUGAGAACCAAGGUAUCAAUCUAGUAGGAGGCUCCUCACAAGUCUCACGAACCUACACAAACAAACAAAGAACUCGCAACCAACGCGAUAAAGGGGUUGUCAAUCCCUUCACGGCCACUUGCGAAAGUGAGAUCUGAUAGAGAUAGUAUGAUAAGAUAAAUAUAUUUUUGGUAUUUUAUAAUAUAGAUGCAGAAAAUGAAGAUGCAAAUAAAAGUGGAUUAAAAGCUUAUAUGAUAAAUGAUAGACUCGGGGGCCAUAGGUUUCACUAGAGGCUUCUCUCAAGAUAGCAUAAGUAUUAUGGUGGGUGAACAAAUUACUGUCAAGCAAUUGAUAGAAAAGCGAAUAAUUAUGAGAUUAUCUAGGCAUGAUCAUGUAUAUAGGCAUCACAUCCGUGACAAGUAGACCGACUCCUGCCUGCAUCUACUACUAUUACUCCACACAUCGACCGCUAUCCAGCAUGCAUCUAGAGUAUUAAGUUCAUAAGAAUAGAGUAACGGAUUAAGAAAGAUGACAUGAUGUAGAGGGAUAAACUCAAGCAAUAUGAUAUAAACCCCAUCUUUUUAUCCUCGAUGGCAACAAUACAAUACAUGUCUUGCAACCCUUUCUGUCACUGGGUAAGAACACCGCAAGAUUGAACCCAAAGCUAAGCACUUCUCCCAUGGCAAGAAAGAUCAAUCUAGUAGGCCAAACCAAACCGAUAAUUCAAAGAGACUUGCAAAGAUAACUCGAUCAUACAUAAAAGAAUUCAGAGAAGAUUCAAUUAUUAUUCAUAGAUAAACUUGAUCAUAAACCCACAAUUCCUCGGAUCUCGACAAACACACCACAAAAAGAGUUUACAUCGAAUAGAUCUCCACAAGAGAGGGGGAGAACAUUGUAUUGAGAUCCAAAAAGAGAGAAGAAGCCAUCUAGCUAAUAACUAUGGACCCGAAGGUCUAUGGUAAACUACUCACAACUCAUCGGAAGGGCUAUGGCAUUGAUGUAGAAGCCCUCCGUGGUGGAUUCCCCCUCCGGCAGAACAUUAGCGAUGGCUCCAAAAUGGGAUCUCGUGGAUACAGAAGGUUACGGUGGCGGAAAUAUUUCUUAGCUGGCUCUCUGGAUGUUUUUGGGGUAUGUAGGCUUAUAUAGAAGGAAGAAGUACGUCGGUGGCCGCCCGAGGGGUCCACGAGACAGGGGGGCGCGCCCAAGAGGGGUGGGCGCGCCCUCCUAUCUCGUGGCCGCCUCGGCUGCUUCUUGGCUUGCACUCCAAGUCCUCCGGAUCACGUUCGUUCCAAAAAUCAUGCUCCCGAAAGUUUCAUUCCGUUUGGACUCCGUUUGAUAUUCCUUUUCUUCGAAAUACUGAAAUAGGCAAAAAGACAGCAAUACGGUUGGGCCUCCGGUUAGUAGGUUAGUCCCAAAAAUGAUAUAAUUGUGUAAAAUAAAGCCCUUAAACAUCCAAAACAGGUAAUAUAAUAGCAUGGAACAAUCAAAAAUUAUAUAUACGUUGGAGAUGUAUCAGUGACUAUGGGAUAAUCUAUGCAUAGGGGUUGAUGCACAUUUUUAUUAUCUUUGCUCCGAUAGAAACUUUGGGGUCUCAUUGUAGUUCUUUGUGCGGAUUGAGUAUUAUGAAUCUGAAAUUGUUUUAUACAUAUCGCAUAAUUAACUCAGGGUACUCGCGGUGACAUUGGGGUAUCUGGGUGACAUUAGAGUUGGUUGAUAUGCAUCAUAUGGUGUUAUUUUAGUACGAACUCUUGAUUAGAUCGAUCGGAAAGAAUAGCUUGCUGUUAUUUUAGUACGAACUCUAGGAUAGAUUGAUCAGAAAGAAUAGCUUUGAGGUGGUUUCGUACCCUACAAACAAUUUCUAUCUUUUGUUCUCUGCUAAUUGGAACUCGGGUGUGAUUCUUUAUUGCACUUUGAGAGAUAAUCAUAUGAUCCAACUAUGUUAGCAUUGUUCAUAGAUUGCACUAGUGAAAGUAUGCAUCCUAAGCUUCAUUUUCCAUUAUUGCAAUACCAUUUGUGCUCCGUUUUACUAUUUACUACCUUGAUGUUUUUUAUUGUUCGCACUACAAAAACUCAUAUCUAUUAUCCAUACUACACUUUUAUCACCAUCUCUUCGCCGAACUAGUGCACCUAUACAAUUUGCCAUUGUAUUGGGUGUGUUGAGGACACAAGAGAUUUCUUGAAUUUGGUUGCAGGAUAGCUUGAGAGAGACUAUCUUCAUCCUACGCCUCCCACGGAUUGAUAAACCUUAGGUCAUCCACUUGAGGGAAAAUUGCUGCUGUCCUACAAAACUCUGCGCUUGGAGGCCCGACACGUGUCUACAAGAAUAAAGUUGCGUAGUAGACAUCACUCCCCUAGUCCAAUUCGGACACCUCAUGGGGGGGGCGCCACCUCCUCGUCGCCCACCUCUCCUCUCCCCUAUGGCCCAAUAAGGCCCAUUACUUCCGCGGGGGGUUCCGGUAACCCCUCGGUACUCUGAUAUUUAUCCAAAACAUUCCAGAACCAUUUCGAUGUUCGAAUAUAACCUUCCAAUGUAUAAAUCUUUACAUCUAAACCAUUUUGAGACUCCUAGUCAUGUCUGUGAUCUCAUCCGGAACUCCGAACAACCUUCGGUCACCAAAACACACAACUCAUACAAUACAUAUCGUCAUCGAACGUUAAGCGUGCAGACCCUACUGGUUCGAGAACUAUGUAGACAUGACCGAGACACCUCUCCGGUCAAUAACCAAUAGCGGAACCUGGAUGCUCAUAUUGGUUCCCACAUAUUUUAUGAAGAUCUUUAUCGGUCGAACCGCAAUGUCAACAUACAUUAUUCCCUUUGUCAUCGGUAUGUUACUUGCCCGAGAUUCGAUCGUCGGUAUCUUCAUACCUAGUUCAAUCUUGUUAUCAGCAAGUCUCUUUACUCAUUCUGUAGUGCAUCAUCCCGCAACUAACUCAUUAGUCACAUUGCUUGCAAGGCUUCAUAUGAUGUGCAUUACCGACAGGGCCCAGAGAUACCUCUCCGAUACUCGGAGUGACAAAUCCUUAUCUCGAUCUAUGCUAACCCAACAAACACCUUCAGAGAUACCUGUAGAACAUCUUUAUAAUCACCAAGUUACGUUGUGACGUUUGAUAGCACACAAGGCAUUCCUCCGGUGUGCGGGAGUUGCAUAAUCUCAUAGUCAGAGGAAUAUAUAUUUGACACGAAGAAAGCAGUAGCAAUAAAACUGAACGAUCAUUAUGCUAAGCUAACGGAUGGGUCUUGUCCAUCACAUCAUUCCACUAAUGAUGUGAUGCCAUUUAUCAAAUGACAACUCAUGUCCAUGGCUAGGAAACUUAACCAUCUUUGAUCAACGAGCUAGUCUAAUAGAGGCAUACUAGGGACACAGUGUUUUGUCUAUGCAUUCACACACGUACCAAGUUUCCGGUUAAUACAAUUCUAGCAUGAAUAAUAAACAUUUAUCAUGAAUAAGGAAAUAUAAAAUAACAACUUUAUUAUUGCCUCUAGGGCAUAUAUCGUUCAGUCUCCCACUUGCACUAGAGUCAAUAAUCUAGAUUACAUUGUAAUGAAUCUAACACCCAUGGAGCACUACUAGGGAAAACCCUAUCAGUAGCGCGGGUUUAAUGCCUAUCAGUAGCGCGGGGAACCGCGCUACUAGUAAGGCGCUAGAGCUAAAGGUUAGCAGUAGCAUGGGUUGGACCAUGCUACUGCUAUAUCGACCUAGUAGUAGCGCUUUCUACAAUCAGCGCUACUGGUAAUUAGUACUAGCGCUUCUCCGAGCACGCGCUACUACUAUUAUUCCGUAUUGUACUUCUUUUUUAUUUCAUGUUGUAUUCAUACACAUUUAUACAAGUUUUCAUACCGCAACAAUUUAGAGAUUGUUUUUACAUCGUAAUGAGUUAUUACAUCACUGGGAGAAAGAACCGUCGACUAGUUUCAAGUGGAUGGACAUCCACUUGAAACUAAUCCGUGGUUCUUUCACCCAAUGAUAUAAUAAAUAUCAUCAUCAUCAUCAUCAUCAUCAUAUCAUCAACACCUUAUCAUCAUAAUACUUCAUUGUCAUAUAACACCUCCUCAUGAUCAUCGUUUUCAUCAAUGAGACAUCACAUACAAGUUGGUCACUAGUCAUAAUCACAACUACUCCUCAUCAUCAACUCUCAUAAACAUAUUGUACCUCAUAGGACCUACUAAAUUCUCUUAGGACCCACUAUAUUCUCUUAGGUAAAAUAGCAUAAAACAAGAUAACCCCUGACUCUCCAUUAUGGAGAAUGGAGAUUAUCCUGUCUCCAAUUCUUGCAUGUCACACAAUGUUGCUUCCAAGAACCUCCUUAGGAUUGUCCAUACAUUUUUUUCCAUUCUUUGAUUAUCAUGUGUUCACCGGUUUUAGAAUCCGGUAUUGACAGGUGAGAUUCAUAGGACGACCUGGCUGUAUGUUCAAAACAUCAAGGCGACCAUUCUGAUACAUCAAAUGAGGCACACAAUCCAUCGGGAUUUUCUAUUGAAAAACGUAUGUAGUUCAGUUUUAUAAGUAUGCAAAAGAUGCACGGAUGUCGUAAUAGUAAAAAAAUCUUACCAGGGCAUCUCCAUGGAAGUUAUCAUGGUUCAACACGUGCACUAGUAGCACGUAUUGACCAUAAUGUGGAGGAGUUCGAUAAUAGGCAUUGUAAUUCUCAAUUUCAGUAUAAUAUUCGACCAUAUGAUUUUUCUCCUGAUAAGUUAACUCAGAGCCAUCGGUGUAGUAGGUUCUGUCUACCAUCUUCCGCACAUUCUUUGAAGAAUGAAAAUAAGCUAUCAAUGGAAAUAAGCUGUCAACUAUUUUGAAAUAAACAAUAUAAAUCACUUAAUAACUAUGUUUCAGAAAACUCACAUAGCGGUAGAAUUGGAAGCGUAUCAACAAGACCCAAAUGUCCAAAUUGUCUUGGUUGAUGUCAGGAUCACCAAGAUCCGUGGUGACAAACAUACCCUCUUGAAAAUCAUACAUCUUGCAAAGUGCUUCCCAACCCGUGCAACCAAAAUGGGAUAUGCUCUCAGAAUUGUAUAGAUUUACCUCAAAAUCCAUACCAUGAUGGGUCCUUAGGUUAAUUUUCUUUGUUUCAUUCCUCUCAUGAUCUUCAAAACCCAUCCUUUCCAAGACAUAGCGUCUUGCAUGGCAUGGGAUAAGCUAGUCGAAUUGGAAAAUACGAAAAUUACACAUUGAAGUAGUAGAAGUCGAGCUUAAUUACGAAAAAAAUGCUUUGCAUCAUAGCUUACCGUAUCACAAUCGAAGGCCUCCUCGAGCUUAAUGCUGAAGUGCGACCUUUGUCUAGGUGAGGCCUGUCGUAGAAACCCCGGUUGUCACCGCACCAGGAGCACUCCCCGGGACCUUCUUUGUCCGACGACAUUUCCUAUGUUCAUAAUUCAAAGAUUAAACUUGUACAAUUAAAUAUAUGUACUACAAAAACUUAAUUAGAUCAUUAUUAUUCAUCAUGGGUUGAGUAUUGGUAUGUCGAGUCUUUUCUUGAAAACUCUCAGCUCACGUGGUGUGUAUAUUCGACCGUCGGUGAUGGUAGCUCCUCCUUUUGUUCCCAAGUGCAUUACACCAAAUUGUCUAGCACAUGAGAACAAAGGAGAAGCUACCCCCACAACAACAGUCGUGAUUCUUCAUCCUCUCAUAUAUGGUGGAGGCUCUCCCUCACUGAUUCCUCUCUGACAUUUGCGACCGUCGGUGAUGGUCGUUACUCCUCCUUCCCCUAGUGCAUAACAAAGGUCUAGCACAAGGAGAAGAAGGAGAAACGACCCCCACGAUAAUAGUCGGAUUCUUUGGCCUUGACAGACUUAAAGUCAACCCGAAAUAUCGUUUAAUUAUCUUUCUAGAAAAUCCAGGGCACUCGAUAUUUCCUACAUAUUAUAGCACAAGUCAUGCCAAAAUUCACGUAAAAUUCCGGCAUGACCUUUGCUAAAAAGGACAUAUCGAGUGCCUAAAAUUUGCCAGAACGGAAAUUAAUCAACACUCCGACAAAACAUAGGCCACUCGGAGGUGUAGCCUGCAAACAUUACUGGCCACUUGGGCAACCACAUAUCCUAUUUGAGCAACACAAGAUAUACAUGUUUUUAUCUACAUCAUAUCUUAUAGGAGUCAUAUUGAUAUGGAGAUUUGGCUGGUCUCACCUCGAGGUCGGAGGGGGUCGGUGACAGGGACGACGACGGGGAUGAUGGAGGGGCUCCCAGAUUUCUGCAAAAACAAAAACCCUAUAAGUUAUCACUAAUACAUCCCAAAUAGUAUCAUACAUAUAACAUCACUAAUACAACUAAAACCCUAGCUAACAACGGGUAUCGACGACGAGGAUGCGGGAUAGGCAUCAUCGACGUCGAUGCGGGAAUAAUUGCUUAAACUAAAAAAAUAACAACAAAUGUGACAUGUUCAACUAGUUCUUACUAAAAAUAAACUUACUAUAAAUAAAAAUAAACUAGUUCUUUCUAAAAAUAAACAAGUUCAACUAGUUAUAUUAAUUUUCUUACUAAAAAUACAUUAGUUCUAUUAAUUCAACUAGUUCUUACUAAAAAUAAACUAGUUCAACUAGUUUUAUUAAUUUACUUACUAAUUAUUUUAAACAAUUACUAAAAACAGUAAAAAAAACUACAUUAUACAAUAGUAAAAAAGUAUAGUAAAAAACAAAAAAAAAAGAUGGAGGGAGUUGGGGAAGGGAUGAGGAAGGNNNNNNNNNNNNNNNNNNNNNNNNNNNNNNNNNNNNNNNNNNNNNNNNNNNNNNNNNNNNNNNNNNNNNNNNNNNNNNNNNNNNNNNNNNNNNNNNNNNNNNNNNNNNNNNNNNNNNNNNNNNNNNNNNNNNNNNNNNNNNNNNNNNNNNNNNNNNNNNNNNNNNNNNNNNNNNNNNNNNNNNNNNNNNNNNNNNNNNNNNNNNNNNNNNNNNNNNNNNNNNNNNNNNNNNNNNNNNNNNNNNNNNNNNNNNNNNNNNNNNNNNNNNNNNNNNNNNNNNNNNNNNNNNNNNNNNNNNNNNNNNNNNNNNNNNNNNNNNNNNNNNNNNNNNNNNNNNNNNNNNNNNNNNNNNNNNNNNNNNNNNNNNNNNNNNNNNGGGCAGCUGGAGGAGGAGGGGGGAGGAGGGACGGGAGGAGAGAGGAGGGAGGAGGAGGGACGGAGGGAGUACCUCGGUGGAGGAGCAGCGCGACGGCGGCGGACGACGGAACCGGCGCGGGCGAGAGUGAGUGAGAGGGUCGGGCGCGUGUAGGAUAAGGUAAGUAAGUAGUAGCACAUUUCCGAGAUACGCGCUACUGCUAUGGGACGUAGCAAUAGCGCUGGUUACAGAUACAUCCUACUCCUAAGUGGGGAGAGCUAUCUGCGCCAAGUACAAACAUAGCUGCAACGCGUUUUCCUAGCACGCGCUACUGCUAAAGUAGGAGCAGUAGCGCGGUUUAUUUAGACACGCUACUACUAAGUAGCAGUAGCGCCCAUUUUUGUCCAGUGCUACUGCUAAGAUGCUGUGUUUAAGGUUUUCCCUAGUAGUGGAGUCUUGGUGGUGAUCAUGUUUUCCUCGUGGAAGAGGCUUAGUCAACGGGUCUGCAACAUUCAAAUUCGUAUGUAUUUUGCAAAUCUCUAUGUCUCCCUCCUUGACCAAAUCUCGGAUGGAGUUGAAGCGUCUCUUGAUGUGUUUGGUCUUUUUGUGAAAUCUGGAUUCCUUCGCCAAGGCAAUUGCUCCAGUAUUGUCACAUUUUUUUUUCAUUGGACACGAUGCACUAGGUAUUACACCUAGAUCGGAUAUGAACUCCUUCAUCUAGACUCCUUCAUUUGCUGCUUCCGAAGUAGCUAUGUAUUCCACUUCACACGUAGAACCCGCCACGAUGCUGUGCUUGGAACUGUACCAACUGACUGCUCCACCAUUCAAAAAAUACGUAUCCGGUUUGCGACUUAGAGUCAUCCGGAUCAGUGUCAAAGCUAGCGUCCAUGUGACCACUUAAGACAAGCUCUUUUUGUCAUCUCCAUAAACGAGAAACAUAUCCCUAGUCCUUUUCAGGUACUUCAGGAUGUUCUUCACCGUUGUCCAGUGAUCCACUCCUGGAUUACUUUGGUACCUCCCCGCUAAACUUAUAGGAAGGCACACAUCAGGUCUAGUACACAACAUAUCAUACAUGAUAGAACCUAUGACUGAAGCAUAGGGAAUGGCUUUCAUUUUCUUCUAUCUUCUAUAGUGGUUGGGCAUUGAGUCUGACUCAACUUCACACCUUGUAACACAGGCAAGAACCCUUUCUUUGACUGAUCCAUUUUGAACUUCUUCAAAACUUUAUCAAGGUAUGUGCUUUGUGAAAGUCCUAUUAAGCGUCUUGAUCUAUCUCUAUAGAUCUUGAUGCCCAAUAUAUAAGCAGCUUAACUAAGGUCUUUCAUUGAAAAACUCUUAUUUAAGUAUCCUUUUAUGCUAUUCAGAAAUUCUACAUCAUUUCCAAUCAACAAUAUGUCAUCCACAUAUAAUAUUAGGAAUGCUAUAGAGCUCCCACUCACUUUCUUGUAAAUACAGGCUUCUCCAAAAGUCUAUAUAAAACCAUAUGCUUUGAUCACCUCAUCAAAGCGUAUAUUCCAACUCCGAGAUGCUUGCACCAGUCCAUAACACUACAGAAAUCAGGCACUUUGCUGCCAGCCAUGGCUGACGGCAAAGACCUUUGCCGUCAGCCAGCAGACGACAACAGGUCCGACUGAAUAGGCUAUGACAAAGGCCACUUUGCCGUCUGCUGGCGGACGACAAAGAUGAAAUGGUCUUUGCCGUCAGGUAGCGGACGACAAAGGACCUGGACGACACACGUGGAAGCUUAGGGCCGUUAAGGGGUUAACGGUGUGUUUUGCCAUCUGCUGGCAGACGACAUAGAUGCAAAGUUCUUUGCUGUCAGCGAGGAGAUGGCAAAGAGACUAUAUAGGCCAGCCCAGUGCCCCAGGUUGUACAGGUACCUACCACGUGGCAGCUUUGCCGUCUGCUAGGUGAUGGCAAAGCUCUUUGCCGUCUGCUAGCGCACGACAAAGUGCCUGUAUAGCCCCUUUUUUUCUUUAAUUCAUUGAAUUUGAUAGAAUUUCACAGAUAUAUAUGUAUAUAUACACACAUUUGAAAAUAAUUUCAACAAUCAUACCAACAAUAAGUUUCCAACAACAUAAGAAACAUACAAGUUUCCAACAACAUAUCCAGCAUACAACAAUUUCCAACAAGAAGUUUCCAACAACAUAUCCAUAUAUACAUACAUAUCCAAAACAAGUUUCCAACAAGAAGUUUCCAACAACAUAUCCAUAUAUGCAUACAUAUCCAAAAGAAGUUCCAGCAAGUUUCCAUAAACAAAAAGGAAGCACAAGGAGAAGAGUACACUCCAUCAAUGCAAGCUUCCUCAUCUAAAGCAAAUCUGCAAAUUGGGAAAGAUGAAAGUUAGAAUAAGAAGAAGACUAGCUAGAAGAAAAAGAAGAAGAAGAAUUUGGCUUCUCUUUCUAUUUCUCCUCUCAUCUUCUUUAUAUUCUUCUUCUUCUAACUAACGUAGGUAAAAAUGCCAUUUUUAGCUAAAUUAGGUAAAAAUGCUAAGUGUGUAGGUCAUUUUAGAGCUAAGCUAGGUAAAUAGGUAAUUUUGGAGCUAACCUAGGUAAAAUGGAUCAUAUUGGAGCUAACCUAGGUAAACUUGGUCAUUUUGGAGCUAACCUAGGUAAAAUGGAUCAUAUUGGAGCUAACCUAGGUAAAAUUGGUUAAAGCAUAUUAUGCCAUUUUUGACAUAAGUAAGCUAAGUAUAGGUCUUUCUUGAGCUAACCCAGGUAACUAAGCAUAUUAGAGCUAAUUUAGCAUUUUAGAGCUAACUUAGAGCUAAGUUAGGCCAUUUUGGAGCUAACUUAGGUAAAAUUUAUCAUUUUGGAGCUAAUUAGGCUUAUUAUGUCAUUUUUGAGGAAAAUAAGCUAUCUAUAUUACAUAUAUGAGGUUACCAAGAUCGUUAUGCCAUUUCAAACCUAAGUAAGCUAAUUAUGCCAUUUUUGACAUAAGUAAGCUAAGUGUCUGUCAUUAUUGAACAAACUUAGGUAACUAAGCAUAUUAGAGAUAACUUAGCAUAUUAGAGCUAACUUAGGUCAUUUCGGAGGAAACAAAGCUAAGUAUAGAUCAUUUUGGAGAUCUGACAUACCUGACAUACUUCGCUCCUCCUUCUUCUCCUUCUCCUUCAUCAUCCUGAUGCGCUUAGACUGGCGAGGUAGUGGGAUGUUGUCUUCUACCACAAUUGGCAUGGUCAUGUUGCCCAGCUGUGGGAUCGCGAGGUCAUUGUCAGGCACCACCACCAUCGCAAGGCCAUCUUCAGGCAACACCAUCGCUAGGUCAUCGUCAGCCACCACCAUCUCUUGCCCAUUGUUAGGCACCACCAUCGCUUUCCCAUCGUCAGCCACCACCAUCGCUUGGCCAUCGUCAACCACCACCAUCGCAAGGUCAUCGUCAGACAUAAUAGGCUGCACCUCCUCAUCCCCACUCUGCUUCUCUUCUUCCCACUCCAUUCCGGAUCAUCCUCGCUACUGCUUUUGCUGUAGCCAGAGGCACUGCUGCUUUGGCUGUAGCCAGAGUCGCUGCUGCUGCUCACAUUGCCUGACCAAAUGCAACAAAGUUUCUUUAACAAUCGAUGUGAGACAAAGCCAAAUGUAGAGGAAGAAGAGGCAGAACAUACUGGCAUCGUCAUUGUCCUGGUAGCGCAUGCGGCAUAUAGUCGUGUUGAACACCUUCAUGGUGAGCAUGGCGUCGCUGUCGUACCUGAAGACAAGGAAGUACCCGUGCCGCAGGUUGUAGGUACAUACGAACUGUUCCCAGCCACGACAGAGGUACAUGUGGCCGUACCCGAUGACCACCUCCACGUCCCAAUGCCUGCGAAGCCCACUGCCGGCCUGUCGCAGCUUCACGUUCUUUGGCCGAUGGCUGUCCAGCAUCUUCAUAAAAGUGUGAGGCAGCUUCUACAACGUGGGUCAAGGAGUGAUGUAGCAAACAGCAGAGUUAUCAUAAAGAGAUUGGUGAAGGGGAGAUCUCUCCUUUUAUAUACCUGCCUCCUGGAGGAAUUCUCAAGUAUGAUAGUGAAGAACUCGAAACCAUCCAACUUGUACUCCAGUGUGGCAGAGCGCAGCCUACGUGGCGGCCUCCCCCAUCUCUAAUAAGUAGCAGAAGAGACCAAUUAGUAAUGCUCAUGUUUCAAAUUGAUCAUAGACAAAUUGAUCAUAGGUACAUUAGCAGUAAUAUUGUGGUGAUCACCAAAAAAUCAUUAGAGGAUAAAUGCAGUAAUAUUGACCAAGAAUUAUUAAGUUCCAGAUUGUGCAUAUUUACUUGAAUGUUCCACUAAAUGGCAACCUUUGCAUGUGCAUAAUUCUAAAUUGUACUAAAUGGCAACCGUUGCCCCUAACUAAACUAAACCGAAUUGCAAAAUCUUGCCCAAAACUGAACUUGAAGACAACUAAAUGGAAACUAUUGCCUACAACUGAACUGGCCUUGAGAGAAGAUGGCAAAAUAGAUCAAUUUGUGAGAAUGUCAUUACAAGAAGGUGCAGGUGGCGAAGUAGAUCAACUAAACUAAAUUGAACUACAACCUAGAACUGAACACUUGAGCAGAAAUCAACAAUACAAAGUGACAAAUUAUUUUGGUUUCUUGCUUCUUCAGACUCUCACUGAAAUUAGGCAUGGGAAUCACUAAAACAAAAAGUGUAUCACCAUAAACCAGUAAAAUUAUCAUCUGGAACUGGUCUUUGUAGUUCAAAUAAGGAAGUAAGAUCUUUCUUUCAAAUUAUCAUCAUAGUUGUAAACUAACUAUAUGAGCAAGAUUACCAUGCUAUAAUAUGGGCGUCGUUGUCAUUUUGUUAGGGCAUGGUUCUUUGCCGUCUGUCAGCAGACGGCAAAGAGCCUAGUUCACGGAUGUUAGUUUGGCCACCUUCUAUGCCGUUUGCUAGCAGACGGCAAAGAAACUUUGCCGUCCACUCAUAGACGUCAAUGAAAGUGGCCGUUAGGUGGUCCUCUCUAGUGGGCCACCCACACUCUUUGUCGUCUGCCAGCUGACGGCAAAGCUUCUAUGUCGUCCGCUGGCAGAUGGCAAAGAGCUGGCCGACGGCAAACAUGACCUUUGCCGUCAGCUCAGUCUUUGCCGUCAGCUUUCUUCAAUCUGAUGGUAAAGACAUUCUUUACCGUCAGCCAACUGAAGGCAAAGAGCUGGCUGACGGCAAAGAUCCUGAUUCCAGUAGUGUAAAUGGAUCGUUGGAGCUUGCACACUUUGUUAGCCCCUUUAGUAUCGACAAAACCUUCUGGUUGCAUCAUAUACAACUCUUCUUUAACAAAGCCAUUAAGGAAUGCAGUUUUGACAUCCAUUUGUCAGAUUUCAUAAUCAUAAAAUAUGGUAAUUGCUAACAUGAUUCGAACAGACUUAAGCAUCGCUACGGUGAGAAAGUCUAAUCAUAGUCAACUCCUUGAACUUGUCGAAAACCCUUUGCAACAAGUCAAGAUUUAUAGACAGUAACAUUACCAUCAGCGUCAGUCUUCUUCUUGAAGAUCCAUUUUUUCUCUAUGGGUCGCUGAUCAUCGGGAAGAUCCACCAAAAUCCACACUUUUUUUCUCGUACAUGGAUCCUAUCUCAGAUUUCAUGGCCUCAAGCCAUUUAUCGGAAUCUGGGCUCAUCAUAGCUUCUUCAUAGUUCAUAGGUUCAUCAUGGUCAAGUAACAUGACCUGCAGGACAGGAUUACCGUACCACUCUGGUGUGAAUCGUGCGCUAUUUGACCUAGGAGGUUCUGUUGCAACUUGAUAUGUAGUUUCAUGAUCUUUAUCAUUAGCAUCCUAUCCAGUUGGUGUAGGCAUCACGGGAAUAGAUUUCUCGCAUGAGAUACUUUCCAAAUUGAGAGCAUGUACAAUUACCUCAUCAAGUUCUACUUUCCUCCUACUCACUUCUUUCGAGAGAAACUCCUUCUCUAGAAAGGUUCCAUUCUUAGCAACAAAAAUCUUGCCUUAGGACUUGUGGUAGAAGGUGUACCCAAUUGUUUCCUUAGGGUAUUCUAUGAAGAUACACUUUUCUGAUUUGAGUUCGAGCUUAUCGUGCUAAAACCUUUUGACAUAAGCAUCGCAUCCCCAAACUUUAAGAAAUGAUAGCUUAGGUUUGUUGCUAACCCACAGUUCAUACGGUGUCGUCUCAACGGACUUUGACGGUGCCCUGUUUAAAGUGAAUGCAACUAUCUCCAAUGCAUAACCCCAAAAUGAUAGUGGUAAAUCGGUAAGAGACAUCAUAGAUCGCUCCAUAUCCAAUAAAGUGCGGUUACGACGUUCGGGCACACCAUUACGCUGUGGUGUUCCAGGUGGCGUGAGUUGUGAAACUAUUCCACAUUGUUUUAUAUGAAGGCCAAACUCGUAACUCAAAUAUUCUCCUCCACAAUCAGGUCGUAGAAACUUUAUUUUCUUGUUACGAUGAUUCUCCACUUCACUCUGAAAUUCUUUGAACUUUUCAAAUGUUUCAGACUUGUGUUUCAUUAAGUAGAUAUACCCAUAUCUGCUCAAAUCAUCUGUGAAGGUCAGAAAAUAACGGUACGUGCCACGAGCAUCAACACUCAUCGGACCGCAUACAUCAGUAUGUAUUAUUUCCAAUAAAUCAUUAACUCGUUGCAUUGUUCCGGAGAAUGGAGUUUUGUCAUCUUGCCCAUAAGGCACGGUUCGCAAGUAUCAAAUGAUUCAUAAUCAAGUGCUUCCAAAAGUCCAUAUUUAUGGAGUUUCUUCAUUCGUUUUACACUGAUAUGACCCAAACGGCAGUGCCACAAAUAAGUUGCACUAUCAUUAUCAACUUUGCAAUUUUUGGCAUCAAUAUUAUGAAUAUGUGUAUCAUCACGAUCAAGAUUCAACAGAAAUAGACCACUCUUCAAGGGUGCAUGAACAUAAAAGAUAUUACUCAUAUAAAUAGAACAACCAUUAUUCUCUGAUUUAAAUGAAUAACCGUCUCGCACUAAUCAUGAUCUAGAUAUAAUGUUGAUGCUCAACGCUGGCACCAAAUAUCAAUUUUUCAGGUCUAAAACUAAUUCCGAAGGUAGAUGUAGAGGUAGCGUGCCGACGGCGAUCACGCCGACCUUGGAACCAUUUCCGACGCGCAUCGUCACCUCGUCCUUAGCCAAUCUUCAUGUAAUCCGUAAUCCCUGCUUCGAGUUACAAAUAUGAGCAACCGAACCGGUAUCAAAUACCCAGGCACUACUAAGAGAAUUAGUAAGGUACACAUCAAUAACAUGUAUAUCAAAUAUAUCUUUGUUCACUUUGUUAGUCUUCUUAUCCGCCAAAAUAAUUGGGGCAGUUCCGCUUCUAGUGACCAGUCCCUUUGCAGUAGAAGCACUCAGUUUCAGGCUUGGGUCCAGCUUUGGGUUUCUUCCCGGGAGUGACAACUUGCUUAUCAUUCUUCUUUAAGUUACCCUUCUUUUUACCCUUGCCCUUCUUGAAACUAGUGGUUUUGUUAACCAACAACACUUGAUGCUCCUUCUUGAUUUCUACCUCCGCAACCUUUAGCAUUCCAUCCUUUGCGUAUUGUAGUUCGUCAAAAAGCCUUUGUAGCUUGGUGGCAGUGAUUGAAGAACUCUGUCAAUGACACAAUCAUCUGGAAUAUUAACUCCUAGCUGAGUCAAGUGAUUAUGGUACCCAGACAUUCUGAGUAUGUGCUCACUAACAGAAUUGUUCUCCUCCAUCUUGCAGCUAUAGAACUUGUUGGAGACUUCAUAUCUCUCAACUUGGGCAUUUUCUUGAAAUAUUAACUUCAACUCCUGGAACAUCUCAUAUGGUCCAUGAUGUUCAAAACGUCUUUGAAGUCCCGAUUCUAAGCCGUAAAUCAUGGCACACUGAACUAACGAGUAGUCAUUAGAUCAAGCUUGCAAAGCAUUCACAACAUCAGCUUCCGAUCCUGUAGCAGGCCUUGCAUCUAGCGGUGUAUCAAGGACAUAAUUAUUCUGUGCAGCAAUGAGGAUAAUCCUCAAGUUAUGGACCCAGUCCGUGUAGUUGCUACCAUCAUCUUUCAACUUAGCUUUUCUCUAGGAACGCAUUAAAAUUCAAGGGAAUGGUAGCACGGGCCAUUGAUCUACAACAUAGAUAUGCAAAAAACUAUGAGGACUAAGUUCAUGACAAAUUAAAUUCAAUUAAUCAUAUUGUCGGAUUUCGUCCGCAAACCCUUGAUAGGUUCGAACUCUGGGGUGCGUGCGGAGAUCUCAACCUACCCAGCCUGCCUACUCGCGAUCCUCUAGGCCUAGCGCAUCGAGCUCAAGGGGACAGAGAGACACAACAGUUUAUCCUGGUUCGGGCCACGUUGUAGUGUAAUACCCUACUUUAAGUGCAUCUAGUGCCCCUUAAUGAUUUUGGUGUAUUGAAGACUUAUAGGUUAAGGGAGUAAUAUGUUUGUGAGUGCACACAUGCUCUAUAAGUCAAUGAGGAGUUUGAUAUUUACAAUGAAUGUUGACCCCUAAAAAUGAAUGUCUUCAGCUGAAGACUUUGGUUCUCCUGAAGACUUUGAAAGUGAUGAAAUUGGUGUGAACUUGAAGACUUGUAUAUUCAUGCGAGGAUUAUGAAGUGUGAAGACUUUUGUUUUCGUAGUUUCAUUUUCUCUUUCUUGAGUCAUAGGAAACACCAUACUGUUAAAGGGGGUCGAGGUAAUACUAAGGAAACUGAUUUCCAUGUGAUGCUCAUCUCAAAAUCCUACACCUACCCAAUCCUUUCGAGUGAAGCCAUUGGAAAUCUCAUAUCAGUUCAGUCAAUUUCUUCAGUGACAGAUACGAAGAUCUUCUGGUCUCUGAGGAAUUUGUUUUGUCUGAGGAGUUAGGAAUUCGCUAGUGCGGAUUGCCUACACAGUGAGGAACAUGAUAGCCCUGAGGAAUUCGAACCUCAAAUCCGACCGUUGCUGUGCUACGCGCCAGCUGUCCAAAAUAUACUACCACCUAACGGUCAUAUCAUUGAAGGGCAUUUAUGUCUUAUCAUGUCGGGCUGCUCCCUAGGCUAUAAAUAGUCGCCCCCUUCAACAACUAGCUGGUUGACUGCUCCGAGAGAAACUGAUACUUGUCAAUUGAGAGCAUCCCAUCCUCCGAGGAAUUUGAAAAUCAUCAAGUGAGGAAAACCCAAAUCCCAAACCCAAAGUGAUUGAGCAUCACUAAAGAGAUUGUUCCUGUGUGGAACCGAUGCUUGUUACCUUUGAGGACUAUGUAUCCUCCAGACGGUUAGGCGUCAUGGUCUGAGCAUCCAAGAGGAAUUGUGGAUUGCCGAGUGACCAAGUCUAUGAAGGUUUGGAAGUCACCAGUGAAGACUUACCACGAGUGUUGGGCGAGGUCUGUGUGAUCUUAGUUCAAGGAGAAUACGGUGAGGACUGUGUGUCCUCGAGUUUAAAUACUUAGCCGCUCCAACCAGACGUACAACUGUCCCAGCAGUUGGAACUGGUCUACCAAAUCAUUGUCUUCACCAAGCCUACUGGUUCUAUUUCCUCAACCCUUUCAUUUCCUCAUUCAUGUGCUGAUGAACCUGAUCAUUACUAUUUGAAGACUUCGACUGAAGACUUUCUCUAUUUCCUUAAUUCAAUUUCUUCAGUCACAUUGUCUUCAGCCUGCUUAUCCAAUGUUUACGCUUCCUGUACUCUGUGUUUGUCUUUCAUUUCAUCAUGACGACUAUGCUAUUGCUCUGUUAUUCUUAUACCUGAGUACCUAUUCCGCUGCUAGUUGUUCGUGAGGAAUUUCCUCACCCUGAAAUUCCUCAGUGACGAAUUUGUAAAAAUCACCUAUUCACCCCCUCUAGUCGACUUAACGCACUUUCAAUUGGUAUCAGAGCAAGGUACUCCCUUCUUUUGUGUGAUUUUGGUUUAACCACCUAGAGUUUUAGUUAUGUCGACUACAAGUAUGAUCAAGGUCUCAGCUGGGUGUCCUACCUUCGAUGGAACGGACUACCCCUACUAGAAGAACAAGAGAUGCAUGCAUCUUGAGGCAAUUGAGAAUGAUCUCUGGUAUGUUGUGGAAAAUGGUGUUCCCUCAGUCACUCCGUCUGUGAAUGCUGCUGAUGUGAAGAGAUUCAAGCAACUUGAUUCUCAAGCGAAGAAUAUCAUAUGUGGCCAUCUGAGCAAAGGACAGUACAACAGAGUGACUGCUUUGGAAUCUGUUAAGCUGAUUUGGGACAGGCUGUCCAAGGUCAAUGAAGGAGUCUCUUCUCAACCCGACUCCCGAGUUGAUGUUCUUCGUAAUCUCUUCAACCGCUUCAAAAGACUCGACAAUGAGAAUGUUCAGCAAACCUUCGAUCGCCUCACUGACAUCUCAAAUGAGCUUCAAGCACUUGGUGCCACUGACAUCACCGACCAUGAGGUGGUGAAGAAAUUGCUUAGAUCACUUGAUUCCUCAUUCGAUACUCUUGCACUGAUGAUUCAAGAGCAAGCUGAUUACAAGUCACUAGAUCCCGCUGAUAUCCUCGAGAGGCUAAACACUCAUGAGUUCCAGCUUGCUGAGAAGAGAGAUCUCUAUGGACCAAGUUAUGGAAGAUCACGUGCACUGAAGGCCAAGGCAGUCUCUAAGUCUGAAGGUGAAGAUUAUGGUAGCACCCUUGGUGAUCCUGAACAACUAAGCCAGACGCUAGCAAUGCUCGUGAGGAAAUUCCAGAAGUUCUCUCGCCGCAGUCGCUUUGGAAAUUCUUCAAGAAAUGAUGAUUCCUCGUCUCGUGACUACAAAAACUGAACUUGCCACAAAUGCAAGAAACCUUGUCACUACAUGUCUGAUUGUCCUAUGUGGGAAAAGGAAUCAAAGAAGAAGAAGUACAAAGAUGAUGAUUCUGAUGAUUCAAAGAAGAAGAAGAAAUCUUCAAAGUCUUCAUCUCACAAGAAGAGCAGUUCCAAGAAGGCCCGGGCAUUCAUUGGCUAGGAAAUGGACUCUGAAGCAGAAUCUGAGGAUAAUGCGGAAGAGGAGGAAUCUGAGGAGUCAGACUCUGGUGUGGCGAGCUUAACCCUUGCUAUUGCUUAUGUCAGCAAGUCCAUCUUCAACACUGAAGAAAAUGACCUCCCCAACUCUGCUGACAAGAGUGUCGAUGAUUAUGCUCACACCUACUGCUUAAUGGCAAAAGGUGCCAAGGUACUCAAACAUUCCCCCUCUGACUCUAGUGAGGAUGAAUCUGAUGAAAAUCUCAAGCCUACCUAUUCCAAACUUGCUAAAAUUGUUGUUAAACAACAGAAGGCUUUGGAAAAGAUUCAAAAUCUACUAGACAAAAGCGAUGACCUAUUGGGUGAGGCAUUGAAUCAGACUAAGACUAUGACUGGUAAUCUUCAGAGACUUAAGACUAAGUUUGACAACCUUCAAAAUCAUCAUAACACUCUCUUAAUUGAUCAUGAGAAGCUUUCUUAUGAAUUUCUUCAGAGAAAGCAAGAUCUUGAGAAUUUAAAAGUGAGUUAUGAAGAUCUUCAGAAGGAAAACGAUUCAUUGCUUGCUCAACAGAUCAGUACUGCUCAGGAAGAAUUUAUUCCACCAUGUUUGAAAUGCAUUGAGCGUGAAUCUGCUAAUUCUUCACCUGAAUGUUCAAAUGCUUCUAUUUGCUGCAAAUUCUUUAACUGUCUCUGUGGUCACAAAUUCCUCAUCUCAGGAUACCACAAGUAUCACUGACGAUAAUGCAGGGCUGAAGGAACUGCAUUUACAAAAUCCUCAAAGGGCAUCAGACUCUUUGUGAUGUGCUCAAAAAGCAGAUCUUGAACAGGAACCCUAGGAAAGAGGGUAUUGCCUUUGAGAGGAAACUCAAUGCUGAUGGGACCUACUGGAAACCUGAGCAGUAUCCCAAAACCUCAUGGGUAGCUGUUGUCGGUGUCAAAAGCCGCGGAUCUCGGGUAGGGCGUCUCGAACUGUGCGUCUAAGGUUGAUGGUAACAGGAGGCGGGGGACAUGAUGUUGACCCAGGUUUGGGCCCUCUCUAUGGAGGUGAUACCCUACUUCCUGCUUGAUUGAUCUUGAUGAAUAUGAGUAUUACAAGAGUUGAUCUACCACGAGAUCGUAAUGGCUAAAACCCUAGGAGUCGAGCUUGUAUGAUUAUGAUUGCCUCUAUGAACUAAGACCUCUGGUUUAUAUAGAUACUAGGGGGGACUAGAGUUGUACAAAAUUGGUUACAGAGAAAGGAAUCUUCAUAUUCAGGCGCCAACCUUGCCUUCCAUGCCAAGGAGAGUCCCAUCCGGACACAGGUGAGAGCGUUCAGUCUUGUAUCUUCACAGCCCAUCAAUUCGGCCCAUGUCAACAGGCCAGACGCCGGAGGACCCUUAAUCCAGGACUCCCUCAGUAGCCCUUGAUAACCCACAAGUGUAGGGGAUCGCAAUAGCUUUCGAGGGUGAAGUACAACCCAAAUUUAUUGAUUCGACACAAGGGGAGCCAAAGAAUAUUCUUGAGUAUUAGCAGUUGAGUUGUCAAUUCAACCACACCUGGAUAACUUAGUAUCUGCAGCAAGGUAUUUAGUAGCAAAGUAGUAUGAUAAUAAUGGUAACAUUAGCAAAAGUAAAGAUAAAUGUUUUUGGGUUUUUGUAGCAGUUGUAACAGUAGCAACGGAAAAGUAAAUAAGCGGAGAACAAUAUAUGAAAAGCUCGCAGGCAAUGGAUCAGUGAUGGAUAAUUAUGCCGGAUGCGAUUCCUCAUGUAAUAGCUAUAACAUAGGGUGAUACAGAACUAGCUCCAAUUCAUCAAUGUAAUGUAGGCAUGUAUUCCGUAAAUAGUCAUACAUGCUUAUGGAAAAGAACUUGCAUGACAUCUUUUGACCUACCCUCCCGUGGCAGCGGGGUCCUAGCGGAAACUAAGGGAUAUUAAGGCCUCCUUUUAAUAGAGAACCGGACCAAAGCAUUAACACAUAGUGAAUACAUGAACUCCUCAAACUACGGUCAUCAUCGAGAAGUAUCCCGAUUAUUGUCACUUUGGGGUUGUCAGAUCAUAACACAUAAUAGGUGACUAUAGACUUGCAAGAUAGGAUCAAGAACACACAUAUAUUCAUGAAAACAUAAUAGGUUCAGAUCUGAAAUCAUGGCACUCGAGCCCUAGGGACAAGCAUUAAGCAUAGCAAAUUCAUAGCAACAUCAAUCUUAGAACAUAGUGGAAACUAGGGAUCAAACCCUAACAAAACUAACUUGAUUACAUGGUAAAUCUCAUCCAACCCAUCACCGUCCAGCAAGCCUACGAUGGAAUUACUCACGCACGGUGGUGAGCAUCAUGAAAUUGAUGAUGGAGGAUGGUUGAUGAUGAUGACGGCAGCGAAUCCCCCUCUCCGGAGCCCCGAACGGACUCCAGAUCAGCCCUCCCGAGAGAGAUUAGGGCUUGGCGGCGGCUCCAUGUCGUAAAACACGAUGAAACUUUCUCUCUGAUUUUUUUCUCCAUGAGACGGAAUAUAUGGAGUUGGAGUUGAGGUCGGUGGAGGUCCGGGGGGCCCACGAGAUAGGGGGCGUGCCCUACAGGGGGGGUGCGCCCCCCUGUUUCGUGUACAGGCCCUGGGCCCCCUGGUGUAUUUCUUUCGCCUAGAAAUUCUUAUUAAUUCCAAAAAGUGCCUCCAUGGAUUUUCAGGAAGUUCUGAGAACUUCUCUUUUCUACACAUAAAACAACAUCAUGGCAGUUCUGCUAAAAACAACGUCAGUCCGGGUUAGUUUCAUUCAAAUCAUGCAAGUUAGAGUCCAGAACAAGGGCAAAAGUGUUUGGAAAAGUAGAUACGUUGGAGACGUAUCAACUCCCCCAAGCUUAAACCUUUGCUUGUCCUCAAGCAAUUCAGUUGAUAAACUGAAAGUGAUAAAGAAAAACUUUUACAAACUCUGUUUUCUUUUGUUGUUGUAAACAUGAAAAGCCAGCAUUCAAGUUUCAGCAAAUAUUAUGAACUAACCAUACUCACAAUAACACCUGGGUCUCACAAUUACUCAUAUCAAUAGCAUAAUCAGCUAGCGAGCCAUAAUAAUAAAACUCGGAUGACAACACUUUCUCAAAACAAUCAUAACAUGAUAUAACAAAAUGGUAUCUCGCUAGCCCUUUCCGAGGCCGCAAAACAUAAAUGCAUAGCACCUUUAAAGACCAAGGACUGACUAAACAUUGUAAUUCAUGGUAAAAGAGAUCCAGUCAAGUCAUACCCAAUAUAAACCAAUAGUAAUGAAUCCAGAUGACAGUGUGCUGUCUAGCGGGUGCUUUUUAAUAAGAAGGGUGAUGACUCAACAUAAAAGUAAAUAGAUAGGCCCUUCGCAGAGGGAAGCAGGGAUUUGUAGAGGUGCCAGAGCUUGAUUUGAAAAUAGAGAUUGAAUAACAUUUUGAGCGGCAUACUUCCACUGUCAACGCAACAACUAUGAGAUGGCUGUAUCUUCCAUACUACAUGCAUUAUAGGCAGUUCCCAAAUAGAAUGGUAAAGGUUUAUACUCCCCAACCACCAACAAGCAUCAAUCCAUGGCUUGCUCGAAACAACGAGUUCCUCCAACUAACAACAGCCCUGGGGGAGUUUUGUUUAAUUAUUUUGAUUUGCUUUGAUCUUUUUGGAUCAUGGGACUGGGCAUCCUGGUUACCGGCCCUUUCUCGUGAAUGAGGAGCGGAGUCCACUCCUCGUGAGAAUAACCCACCUAGCAUGGAAGAUAUAGGCAGCCCUAGUUGUAACAUGAGCUGCUCGAGCAUACAAAACAGAAUUUCAUUUGAAGGUUUGGAGUUUGGCACAUACAAAUUUACUUGGAACGGCAGGUAAAUACCGCAUAUAGGAAGGUAUAGUGGACUCAUAUGGAACAACUUUGGGGUUUAUGGAGUUUGGAUGCACAAGCAGUGUUCUCGCUUAGUACAGGUGAAGGCUAGCAAAAGACUGGGAAGCGACCAACUGAGAGAGCGACAACAGUCAUGAACAUGCACUAAAAUUAAUUCACACCGAAUACAAGCAUGAGUAGGAUAUAAUCCACCAUGAACAUAAAUAUCAUGAAGGCUAUGUUGAUUUGUUUCAACUACAUGCGUGAACAUGUGCCAAGUCAAGUCACUGAAUUCAUUCAAAGGAGGAUACCAUCCCAUCAUACCACAUCAUAAUCAUUCUAAUAGCAUGUUGGCGCGCAAGGUAAACCAUUAUAACUCAAAGCUAAUCAUGCAUGGGACAAGCAACUAUAAUCUCUAAAUGUCAUUACAAAUAUGUUUACUCCAUAAUAAGCUGACUCAGAAACGAUGAACUCAUCAUAUUUACAAAAACAAGAGAGGUCGAGUUCAUACUAGUUUUUCUCAUCACAAUAAGUCCAUCAUAUAUCAUCAUUAUUGCCUUUCACUUGCACGACCGAACGAUGUGUAUAAUAAUAAGAGUGCACAUGCAUUGGACUAAGCUGGAAUAUGCAAGCAUUCAACUCAAAAGAUAAGACAAGUAAUAUGGACUCUAAAUUAAAUAAACAAUCAUGCAUAUGAGAGCCACUAAGCAUUUUCAAUAUGGUCUUCUCGACCCCUAAAGGAAAGAAAAGAAAAUAAAACUAUUUACACAGGAAAGCUCCCAACAAGUAAGAAGAAGAACUAGAAACAUUUUUGGGUUUUCAUUUUAAUUUCUACUACAAGCAUGGAAAUUAAACUAACUAUUUUUUUGGUUUUUCUUAAGGUUUAUCAAACACACAAGAAGAAAACUAGAAAAAGGAACUUUAAACUAACAUGGAUAAUACAAUGAAAGAGUAUGAGCACCGACGACUAGUGUGUGAACAUGAAUGUAAAGUCGGUGAGAAAUACGUACUCCCCCAAGCUUAGACUUUUGGCCUAAGUUGGUCUAAUACCAAGGAUCACCUGGCUGAUAUCCAUAGGUGAAACUGGGAUUGUACUGAGAUGCAGCGGCAACGGCCUCCUGAGCUGCAGCGUGUUGGCGAGCUGCCUCCACUCCCCUCUCGUAUUCAGCUGCUUCCUCCCUGGUGACAUCAUAUCUUCCUUUUGCUUGAUAAUCAAAAAGGUAGGGAGCAGGAAGAGUAACAGGGACGAUGUUGCGUCUGUCAUAUAUUAGUCGAUAAUGGAGGAAUUGUUCAUUCCUCUCAAGAAAAUGAUGAUUAAACAUAGCUUCUUUAUCCAAAUAAACAGGGGGUAAAAUAACAUCCCCCUCUCGUGGGGCUAUAUUAAGAUAAUUGGCCACACGGGUUGCAUAAAUUCCUCCUUAAAGCCCGCUUUGACCAUAAAAUCAUCGGAUGGCCACUCACAAGCUCGUACAUCCGCGUUCCUUGGCAAUUCAACAUCUUGCUCACGUAUAGCAAUCCUGGGCCCUUUCUUCACCGAGGAACCACCUUGGUACAUUCUCCUAAGGAUAUUUCUUUUUCUGAAAUAAAUCUGAAAUUUUAGUAACUUCAAAAUAAAAGUGCAUAAAACUAAACAAGAUUGAUAGCAACUACUCCUACAAGUGCCUAGAGCCUAUAUCAUGCAUUGGAAUUGCUUGGGACCUCAAAAAUUUAACAUGCAAGCUCAAGAACAUGGUCACCUAUGCAGCAAAAAUUUGCAAUGAAUAAAGCACUAGAACAAAAACUAAUUGGACCAAUGGAGGAGUCACAUACCAUACAACAAUCUCCCAAAGCAGUUUUGUGAAUGGAGCUUUGAGCUAAGAGAUCGAAAAUUGCAGCAAAAUGAGCUAGAACUCGUGCUUGAGCUGGAUGGGGAUUUUUUUGGGUAGAAGAUGAAGUGCGUGGGUGCUGGCAUAAGUGGAGGGGAGCCACUAGGGGCCCACGAGACAGGGGGGCGUGCCCUAUAAGGGGGGGGGGGCUCCACUCUCGUGGCCUGGUGCUUGCCCCUCCUGCAGUGUUUUUAGUGCCUAAAAUCCUCAAAUAAUUCAUAAAAAAUCAUACUAAAUUUGCAAGACAUUUGGAGCACUAUUAUUUUUGGACUAUUUUUCAUUGCAUGGAAAAUUCAGAAAACAGACGGAUAAUACUAUUUUUGCUUUAUUUAAUCUAAAUAACAGAAAGUAAAAA
Molecule: long non-coding RNA, 38241 nt
Filed under: Triticum aestivum (bread wheat)
Lineage: Eukaryota; Viridiplantae; Streptophyta; Magnoliopsida; Poales; Poaceae
Description: long non-coding RNA (TAES_LNC027784)
Source: RNAcentral